RNAcentral lists this transfer RNA (73 nucleotides) under Tursiops truncatus (common bottlenose dolphin). RNAcentral's name for it is "tRNA-Gly (CCC) (tRNA-Gly-CCC-8-1)". It matches the Rfam family "tRNA". From Rfam's summary of the family: Transfer RNA (tRNA) molecules are approximately 80 nucleotides in length. Their secondary structure includes four short double-helical elements and three loops (D, anti-codon, and T loops). Further hydrogen bonds mediate the characteristic L-shaped molecular structure. tRNAs have two regions of fundamental functional importance: the anti-codon, which is responsible for specific mRNA codon recognition, and the 3' end, to which the tRNAs corresponding amino acid is attached (by aminoacyl-tRNA synthetases). tRNAs cope with the degeneracy of the genetic code in two manners: having more than one tRNA (with a specific anti-codon) for a particular amino acid; and 'wobble' base-pairing, i.e. permitting non-standard base-pairing at the 3rd anti-codon position. The record is from Rfam by way of RNAcentral. Lineage: Eukaryota; Metazoa; Chordata; Mammalia; Artiodactyla; Delphinidae. RNAcentral also lists the same sequence under 5 other names.
UCCCUGGUGGUCCAGUGGUUAAGACUCUGCACUCCCAAUGCAGGGGGCCCGGGUUCAAUCCCUGGUCAGGGAA